GGCCAGGUAGCUCAGUUGGUAGAGCGUCCGCCUGAAAAGCGGAAGGUCGCCGGUUCGACCCCGGCCCUGGCCACCU
This 76-nucleotide transfer RNA is filed under the name Saccharomonospora viridis. RNAcentral describes it as "tRNA_Phe_GAA". It matches the Rfam family "tRNA". From Rfam's summary of the family: Transfer RNA (tRNA) molecules are approximately 80 nucleotides in length. Their secondary structure includes four short double-helical elements and three loops (D, anti-codon, and T loops). Further hydrogen bonds mediate the characteristic L-shaped molecular structure. tRNAs have two regions of fundamental functional importance: the anti-codon, which is responsible for specific mRNA codon recognition, and the 3' end, to which the tRNAs corresponding amino acid is attached (by aminoacyl-tRNA synthetases). tRNAs cope with the degeneracy of the genetic code in two manners: having more than one tRNA (with a specific anti-codon) for a particular amino acid; and 'wobble' base-pairing, i.e. permitting non-standard base-pairing at the 3rd anti-codon position. The record is from RNAcentral. RNAcentral also lists the same sequence under 1 other name. Lineage: Bacteria; Bacillati; Actinomycetota; Actinomycetes; Pseudonocardiales; Pseudonocardiaceae.